Molecule: long non-coding RNA, 5656 nt
Organism: Mus musculus (house mouse)
Lineage: Eukaryota; Metazoa; Chordata; Mammalia; Rodentia; Muridae
Product: predicted gene, 30735
Exons: 5
Source: RefSeq, marked validated
AUACCUCAUGUGAGAACAUCAGAGUUGGAACACAGCUUGAAUGGCUGUGUGGGUGGACGGAGGAGUCCACAUGCCGGGAGGACGAUGACGCUCUUCACCUGAACUCGGGUACUUUAGGUUUGAAGUUACUGCCUAGCAUUGUGGAAGCAGCACGGAAAUGCACAAGGAGCAGAGGAAGGGUGUGGUCCAUCCCGGACAGGCUGAGUCUCUUCAAGGUUAGGCACUUCGUCUGCCACUGAGGCCAGACAAGGCAGCCCAGCUAGAAGAACAUAUCCCACGGACAGGCAACAGCUUUUGGGAUAGCCCCUGCUCCAGUUGUUCAGGACUCAGAUGAAGACCAAGCUGCACACCUGCUACAUGUGCGGAGAAGCCUAGGCCCAGCCCGUGUAUGUUCUUUGGUUGGUGGUUCAGACUCUGAGAACCCCAAGGAUCCAGCUCUUAUGCUGAAGAUCGCCACCCAGUGGGGACACGGGAAAUUCCAGCCCAGGGUGCCCAGCUGUGACCUAAUGAGGAAGCCUGUGGAUGGUGACAGAAAGCUGGCUAACAUAAGAGUCACUGAAGACUUUCAUCUUUCCUCUAAUAAAAUGGAGUCAGACAUUGUGCUGGCUGGUUUUGAGGGUCAACUUGACUGACAAGAAGCUCAAGCCAGAGAGGAGGGAGCCUCAGUUGAGGAAAUGCCUCCAUGAGAUCCAGCUGUGAGACAUUUUCUCAUUAGUGAUCAACGAGGGAGCCUAAUAAGGAGAGUGCUGUCCCUGGUCUGGUGGUCCUGGGUUCUAUGAGAAAGAAAGCUGCUAAGCCAUGUUAAACAAGCCAGUUACCAGCACCCCUCCAUGCCCCCUGCACAGCUCCUGCCUGCAGGCUCCAGCCCUGCUUUAGUUCCUGUCCUGACUUCCUCCAAUGAUGGACCAUGAUCUGGAAGUGUAAGCUAAAUAAAGCCUUUCCUCCCCAACUUCCUUUUUGGCCAUGGUGUUUUGUUCCAGCAGUAAAAUCCCCAACGAAGACAUCAUCAUAACUGUUUAAUGAGAAUUUCGGCUUCUAUAUUGUUUGCUAUAUACCACUGUGAAAGAGCCAAGAGGAACAAGGGCUGGUGUUGUUCUUAUUUUACAAAUGAAGACACUGAAAUACACAGAAGUCAAGUUUUGCUCUCAGCUUCAUGGUUUUGAUCAUUUUUUCCCCAGUUAAUGUCCACAUGGCUUAGAAUGUUAUAUUCAAUUUUGACACUCUGAAGGAAUCAAGCUUUCUUGUUUUUAAGUAAAAUUUCUUUCAACUCAUGACCACAGAAUAUGAGGAUAAUACUCUCUUGGGGUGAGUGAUGGCUAUUUUCGGUUGUCAACUUGACGCUGUCUGGCAUGAACUACAAUCCAGAAAUGGAGGGCACACCUCUGAUCCAGAUCUUGAGUCGGGGAGAAAACACACCUUUGAUCUGGAUCUUGAGGCGGGAAGACACCAAGUUUGUGAUCUAAAUCUUGAGGUGAGAUGACGCACACCUUUAAUCCAGCCAGAUCUUCAGGCACGGCUUUAAUGUGGGCCAAAUCUUCUGCAGGAGGCCUACAUAAGGGCAAUGAAGAAGGAAGGGUUUGCUUUUCUUUGCCUGCUUGCAUUCCCUUUGCCAGCAUAUCCAUUGGGGACCACUUCUUCAGGAUCCCAGCUUAUCCUGAAGACCAGCCGAGACAAUCAGCCUUGUGGGGCUGAGCAACUACCAGAUGCUUGGACUUUCCAUUCUCAGCGGCCCAUUGGUAUAUAUGGAUUCAUUCCAUAAAUUCUGUGACUCUAGAGAACCCUGACUAAUACAGAAGAAUGUCCUAGAGCAAUUGCUUCAUGCUUAGUACUCACAACAGAAGGCUGCAGGUCGGAAGCCAACUUACACACACACACACACACACACACACACACACACACACACAACACACACACGCCGCCCCCUCUCCCCCCGGGUGUGCAGGAUGAAUGUUCUCGAGAAUCAGUUCUUAUAGCACAGAUAGCAGAAGAAGCUGGCAAUCUCUCGAACCAGAGGAAGAAUCAUGCCCAGAGUUGUGAACAACUGUUCCUGUAGCCUAGACACAGAGUACCGUAGAGAACGAGUUUGAGUGCCACAGCUCUGCAGUACCUUGUUUGGGCCCCCGGGCGGGACAAAGCUUUUGCUUAAUCCUUAGGUGAGGUGACAGACUGGUAGCCAUGAUUGAUCAAAAGUUGGCUGCUUGACUAGUGGAAACCUAGCUAACUAAAUUGGGUUUUGGUUACAAACACAUGAAGUUGUGUUGAAGUUGACUAGCCAGGACUGAAAAUACAGAUGCAUUCCCAGGCUAAUGUUAAUCUCACACUGUUGAGAAAGACGCAUCUCCUAUUCGGGCUUCGCUAUUUGCAUCUGAGGCUGUAGUAGGACACAUUAUCUUUGGAGUUACUGAUAUUUCUGAGUCCAUUUUUGGAUCCUGAUCUAGUGGAGAAUGGCAUCCGUGUCCUUGUCUGAACUCUGCUUGCUCAAUCAGUUGUCACUGCCAUUACAUUCUGGGCCCUGAUGGGUAAUAGGUAAUUCUGGAUUCCUCCCUGCCUUUUAUGGUUAGGAGAAACUGAGAGCACUCUUGUAAGCUUUGUGAAAUGCAAUGCCAGCAUGCACUAGCAGUCUGACUGGUACAUUAAAGAAAGACAUGGUGUCCAUCCCAGGAACCUUUGGGAAUCAUUGGAUACUUGCAAAAAGAGUCACCAUGUCAGGGUAGAAGGAAUAGAGACAGUGACGAUAGGAGACUUAUUACUACAAACUUGGAAUACCUAUUUACAAUGCAUCUCCAAUGAUUCCAGAAGGUUCCGAUGACGAGGUCAGAUCCCCAGGAGUUAGAGUUACAGAUGUCCAUCUGUAACAGCCAUAGAGCUGUCCAUCCCGUGUUCAGGGAACUGAACUUGUGUCUUCCAGAAGAGCAGCGAGUGCUCUUCACUGCUGAGCUAUGUCCCCUAUUCCCUUCAUCUGCUCUAUUUAAACUGGUGAUCUCAGCACUUUGAAUGACACCUAUCAGGUAGCUGUUGAGUUACAAGGGGACGGCUAUCGGUGUGAAAAAGGUGACUUUCUCUCUAUGGUGACAUCAUGACAGCCGCUGAGAUGCCCCCUACACCACCUCUCCCCACACCCCCAUCACUGUCACCCACAUACUGGAACCUGAGGUUAGGAAAUGAUUUUUCCUCUUUGCCUGGCAUCCCACCCCAGUUCUCUCUCCUGGAGCAUUGCCCCCUGAAUUCCUUUCUCCCACCAGAUGGCACUAUGUCUUCAGUAUUCAGAGCUACAGGUUUAUUGAAAUGAGGCUUCUUUGUUCUCCCUGCUACUCGAACCUUAACGAAUGGGUUUAAAGACCUAUUCCAGGCUAACAUCAUGAAUACCUUUUUUUUUUUUUUUAAAUGGCAGGCAGCCUAGCUAUAUGAAAGUUCGUGAAAUAUUUAUAAAAGCCAACUAAAAAGGCAAUAAAGACAUUGAUUUCUACAGCCAAAGCUGAGAUUUUGAUGUCACUGACAAUCAAUGUUAAGAUGUUACCACUGGGCCCUUAAUGCAAAAACUAAAAGAGAUAAAGGAAUGAUAAACCAGGCUGGAUGUGGCAUGCAUAUGCAUAUGCAUAUGCAUAUGCAUAUACAUAUACAUAUACAUAUACAUAUACACAUACACAUACACAUACACAUACACAUACACAUACACAUACACAUACCCAUACCCAUACACAUACAUGUACCCAUACACGUAUACACACACACACACACACACACACACAUACACACACACACAUACAUACAUACACAUAUACACAUACACAUAUGUAUAACAUACUAUAUCGUUUACAUGGUCUCAUCUAUCAGGAAAACUUACAGAAUUCAGGUUUGAUGAAGAGCUUUGGGUGUUGCGCUCUGGGGUCUUCUGGCCACUGGUACCUCUGAGGUAGCCUGAAGUUCAUGGAAGGAAAAGUCUGAUUAUUUCCCUCCCAUAAGGACAGGGUCAUUAGGUGUGGGCUUGAGGGUUUAGCUCCGGGUUUGUGCAGGCAAAGGGAACAGAGAAGUCACACACACACAAUCAUCCCCUCAGCUGACAUGGAACUAUAAGCAGCCUGGGCAACACACUUUCUAAGUCUACUUACUAUUCUUCCAAAGUAGCUGCGAAGGCUCCUAGUUUCACAACAUACCCCACAACCAGCAGCCUGGGAAGCUCUGAGGAGGUUUAUAUAUAUCUAACCUAGAGGCGUCUUGUUCAGUCAUAAAACAAUGUCUUGUCUGUAAUUUUACUAUUAUUCCCAGGAAAUCAGACCCUUAGAUGGACAGGCUGAAUGCUUCACAGAUCUGAUGGCUUCCCUCCGUGCAUUCUCUCUUCUUAUGAGUACAUUAAAUAAUAUUAAUAUAUUUUUAGUAAGUGACUUUCUUGGAGAAAUACUUCAGAGUUUGUUUUUUUUUUUCCUACUAAUAAGACUUCCAGAUAAACACAUUACAAACCAACCUAUGAAUCAAAUUCUUGAUGGUAGCUAUUUCCUCUUAACUUUGUUUAAAUUUAUCUCAUACGGUACCCUUUGCAGCACUGCUAAAUUCUUAUAUUAUCUUAAAGAGGAGAAACAUCAGUAAAUUAAAAACACAUUUUUUUUGUGAGUGGAUUAAUAUGAACUGUCAUCCAUGUGAAAAGCAGUGCAUAGCUAUUGUGUAAAAACAAACAUUUCCAAUUUCUCCCUCUCAGAGUAAUGCUAAUGGCGUCAUGCUGGUGGGCAGCGCUCUCUCUCUCUCUCUCUCUCUCUCUCUGAGAUAAUUGUCUAACUCACACAUAACCCCUGAUUCUUCUAUGUGAUCACUUGGUAUUAGACUCCUAUUAGGGACAAUUAACAGGCACAGACUUAAGGGAAGUGAAAACAGAUAUAAAGAAAGCACAUGGCAGAGACGGAGUACGGGGUAGAGAUAAGAACUUGUGAUCGCUGAGAGCAACAGGAGUCACAGACAGCACCCUCGUGUCUCGGCUUUGACCAUGGGCCCUUCACUGAUUACCAGAGAGGAAGGUUCAACUCCCAACCGUUUUCCUGACCAGCUGCCUACUAUUUUGAGAAAAGCAUGCUUAUUUAGAUCCCAGAACACACUGGUGGAAUAUGUCUUCUAAGGAAAAUCCUAGAAUUAUGAAUAACAUGUUAAAUGAAUGAACACGUGGAUCUAUUUGCUCUUUUGGGUGUUCGUGUAAACCAGAGAUGGAAGAUAAGAUCCUAUGAACUUUGAGCCUUGAAAAGACAAAACUAAUCGAUUGUCCAGCUGUGCUUUGAGUGCCUCCAAGACUGUAGCACACAGACAGCUCUUAUCCAGAACACAUUAAUCCAACUCAGUCCCCAGAGCUCAGACUUGGUGUCUCUGUCUGCAUUUGCCUAAUCUAAAUAUCUGAGUUGUUUCAUGCUUUGAGCCUGUGUUAUAUAUAUCCAGACACCGAUAUACAUACAUAUUUAUCUAUGUUUACCUUCAAUGUUUAUACCUGGUACAGUUCUUUGUAUAAACAUGCAACUGUCUGUAUACAUACGAAAAUACAAAAUAUUAAUUAUUGGUAUGCUCUUUAAUGAUGUUAUAAUGAUCUUGAUUUAAUAUUUCAUAUUUACUGUUUUUCAGUAACACAUUUUAUUUGGAGUCAGAAAAAUGAUAUUACUAUAAAAUCCUAAAUAUCAAAUAA